Scomber scombrus (Atlantic mackerel) is the source of this 2493-nucleotide RNA transcript. It is a transcript of the gene named reticulocalbin 1, EF-hand calcium binding domain, with no coding region annotated. The record is from RefSeq and is a predicted model, not a curated record. The transcript is spliced from 7 exons. NCBI's taxonomy places the organism in Eukaryota, Metazoa, Chordata, Actinopteri, Scombriformes, Scombridae.
UUGAAAUCUGUAGGUGCUCUCAGCGGACCUGUCUGCCUUGAAGUCCUCCCUGCAAGUUUGGUUAGUUUUGAUGUGGAGCUACACCGCUGCUGAAAGGAGACAGAAAGGAUAGUGAGAAACGGUACGAGCAGUCUAGCUUGCUACAUAGCCUGCUUGCUCAUUGUGCAGUGUAGUGUCAUACAGGCCUGUUUAGUUUAGAAACACUGUUUUGGCCUCAGAGAGCUCAGUUUCAUCCCCUGACUGAUGGACGUCUUCAACUGCGUGUGUGUUGUGCUUCUUUGCACCACCAUGGUGCACGGCAAGCCGACGUUAAGAAAAGAAAGAGUCAUUCAUGACUCAGACCUUAGCAAGCGAACCGAGGAAGACAAUAAAAGCUUCCAAUACGACCAUGAGGCCUUUCUUGGGAAAGAGGAGGCCAAAACAUUUGAUCAGCUCACCUCCGAGGAGAGCAAGGACAGGCUUAGUAAAAUAGUGGACCGAAUAGACAGCAAUUCAGAUGGCUACAUCAACACCGCCGAACUGAAGGCCUGGAUAAAGCGUGUACAGAAGCGUUACGUCUAUGAGAAUGUAGCAAAAGUGUGGACAGAUUACGACCUGAACAAAGACAACAAGAUUUCAUGGGACGAGUACAAACAAGCCACAUACGGAUACUACCUCGCCAACCCGGAGGAGUUUGAUGACGCAACAGAUCAGUUCAGCUUCAAGAAGAUGCUUCCUCGUGACGAGAGAAGGUUCAAAACAGCUGAUCUGAAUGGGGAUUUGGCAGCAGACAGAGAAGAGUUCACAUCAUUCCUCCACCCUGAGGAGUUUGACCAUAUGAAGGAUAUUGUGGUUCAGGAAACCCUGGAGGACAUUGACAAGAAUGGCGAUGGGGAUGUGGAUGAGGAUGAAUAUAUUGCUGACAUGUUUGCACAUGAGGAUGGAGGUCCAGAGCCAGACUGGGUGAAGACUGAGAGAGAACAGUUCUCUGACUUCCGAGACUUGAACAAAGACGGUAAGAUGGACCCGGAUGAGAUUCGCCACUGGAUUAUGCCCCAAGACUACGACCAUGCCCAGGCCGAGGCCAGACAUCUGGUUUAUGAGUCUGACCAGGACAAGGACCAGAUGCUGACCAGAGAAGAGAUCCUUGAGAACUGGAACAUGUUUGUGGGAAGUCAGGCCACCAACUAUGGAGAGGACCUCACCAGGAACCAUGAUGAGCUCUAAGCUCGUAGUACAGCUUCUGACGUGUGUGUGUGUGUGUGUGUGUGUGUGUGUGUGGUUGUUGAACACCUUUGUCUUUCAAUGACAGAAUCACAGACUCUUGCAUCUCCGCCCACCACCACUCCAUCCUUCCUCAUAAUAGUUGGACAGAUGUCAGUGCGUUGGAUUUUAAACCAACACAGUAGAUAUCAAAGUACAGGAGGGAUGAGGGUUGGUCCUACCACUAACACUAAGAGUCCAUAUCGAUGGUUCUGUUUCUGACAUUCAGAAGUAAAGCCAUUCCCAGUGGACUUACUUUCCAUCGAUGGUGCCUUCCAGCCGCAUCGGCAACUCCACUGCCUCAGAGAUCUGUGUAGAUAGUCUUUUAAUGAAACCUCUCAAUGCUGAAUGCUGAGGUUUACAUAAACUGUCCAAUACAGGAACAGUUUUUGAUAGCAAUGUUAAUGUGAAGCUACCGCUCAGAAGAUUUAUUCUGAUUUUAUUUAUUUAUCAAUUAAAUUCUGAACUUUAGGUCUGGGAGGAAUACAGUGUUAAGUUAGACAUCUUGUUUUUAACUGAAGACACAAAUGAUGUUUCUUCGUUUACAGUUUUCCUGGCCAAAUUAUUUUAAUGAUGUUUUUGAAUUAGUUAAAUGCUUUAAGAAACUGUUGUCAAACUGAUUUUUAUUGACAUGGUCUUUGCACGUGUUUGGUUUUAGUAUAGCCUGUGAAAGAUUUUUUCCAUUGUACUUACUGUAGUUUGUAAUGUAUUUAUUGGUAUACCUGAAGCCAACAGUAUGCUCUGUGUUCAAUUUUUAUUGUCCUUUGCUUUAUCUGAGCUGUACCCUUUUAAAGUUGUCAAAAUGUGGGUUUGGUUUGGAGAAUACUCCUAAAUACAUGAUCAAUAUGUAGAAAAGUUUCCUUUCCUCACCUCUCUCAUAACUCCUUGCUUUCUAUUACAUCACUCAAAGGUCAUCUGCUAUCAUCAGACGCACCAUUUUUUUCUCCAAAACAUUUGGCAUUGUAUAUAUCAGCCAAGUGUUUAGUUUUUUUUAACAUACAACUCAUUGUCGAGAAUAUGUCCUUUGGGUUUUUUUAUGUUUUGUUUAAUGAAUAGUCUGUGUGACGUGCAUAUAAUUAUGCAACUCAUUAAAAGAACAAGAACAAAACUUUAGGGACUUCUAAUGUUAUGAUUUGUCAAGUUAAUGUCACUCAAAACCUUUUUAUUCCCCUUUUCCUUUUGCAUUAAUAGUCCACAUUAUAAAUGAGCAGAAACCCAUCAACAUGUCUCUUAUUCCACACUGCACAUGCU